Molecule: ribosomal RNA, 450 nt
Filed under: uncultured bacterium
Lineage: Bacteria
Description: bacterial SSU rRNA
Rfam family: Bacterial small subunit ribosomal RNA
Source: RNAcentral
AUGAACGCUGGCGGCGUGUCUAAGGCAUGCAAGUCGAAUGUUUGUAGCAAUACAGGCAUGGCAAACGGGAGAGUAACACAUUGGCAAUCUACCCCUAAGACGAGGAUAACCUUGCGAAAGCGAGAAUAAUACUCGAUAGUAUCAAUAAACAUAAGUUUGUUGAUUAAAGCUCCGGCGCUUAGGGAGGAGCCUAUGGCCUAUCAGCUAGUUGGUGCGGUAACGGCCCACCAAGGCUACGACGGGUAUGGGGUGCGAGAGCAUGACCCCACUCACUGGGACUGAGACACUGCCCAGACUCCUACGGGAGGCUGCAGUCAAGAAUCUGCCUCAAUGGGCGAAAGCCUGAAGGAGCGAAGCCGCGUGUAUGAAGAAGCCCCUCGGGGUGUAAAGUACUUUUAACUGUGACAAAACAAUGAUGGUAGCAGGUGAAUAAGGGGCUGCUAACCUCGU